Long non-coding RNA from Lotus japonicus, 1304 nucleotides. RefSeq lists it as uncharacterized. The transcript is spliced from 3 exons. The record is from RefSeq and is a predicted model, not a curated record. NCBI's taxonomy places the organism in Eukaryota, Viridiplantae, Streptophyta, Magnoliopsida, Fabales, Fabaceae.
GCUAAGUUGGAGGUUUCCUUUUGGCUGAGAGAGAGAGAGAGAGACAGAGAGAGAGAGAGAGAGAGUUCAUCUUUUUUUUUCAUCUUGGAAACCUAAGUCGAAUUCUUUCUUCCUCACCCCCAAACACUACAUUCUCUUCAUCUUUUGCUCUUUCUCUCUUCACAAAAGAGUUAGGCAUUGACUUAAGCUUGAUGAUGUUUGUUUUCUUCCUAAAAAAUGGGCUUUCUUGGCCUUUUAUUUCGCUUAAAACUAUUUAUGGUUUUUGUCAAUGUUGUUAGGCAUCUCUUUAGCUUCAUGGAAAUUUAAUUGGUUCUAUGAGAAGUUAAAUUUGUCAUGUUAGAGAAAUUUGAAAAUUGCUUUUGAACUUGCUUUUGUUGAAGUGGUAGCUCGGGAGGAGAGUUUUCAAGCCAUGUUUGAAACCCUUGUUUGACUCUACUCUAGAAGCUUUGAGCAGAAAGGAAAGCAAUCGAGGUCUCUGGGAUGGAUCCAGUGGGCGGUGGCUCCAGCGCAACAGCACUAUGGAGGGCCAACGCAGCAACAUUGAGCCUCAGACUUCUAGCGCGGCAGCGCUAGGGGGCCAGCACAGCAGCGCUGAGCCCCUUCCUUCCCUGCGUUGGUGGAUGCUUUAAAGGCAAGAUCGGGGCUGCUUUGGGGUAUUUUUGGGUGUAGUAUGUGACUUCGAAUGUUUUGAAUGAUAUACAUGAAAUAUAUGAGUUAAGAAUUCUUGAUUGACAUAAAGAUUAAAUAUGAUUGAUAUGACUUAUGAGUUGAUUAUAUGUCCUUAAAGUAAUGAAGUGUGACAUUUUUAACUCUGAUGAGAUGUAUGCUGAUUACAUGCUCUUGAAAUGUAAAUCAGAUGAUGUUUGAUAGAUUAUAAAUGCCUUAUAUUGAUGGAGGAUGAUACACACUUGAGCUCUACGCUUGUUGGAUUAACAUAAUGAUUAAGCAUGUAUAUGAUGAUCGAUGAGUUGAUUAUAUGUUCUUGAAGUUGUGAAUCACAUUAUGAUUGAUGGGUGUGGCAUGUUUCUUUAUCUUAUAAAGUAUAUGAUGAUUAUAUUCUCUUGAGUUGUGAAUCAUAUGGUGAUCAGUGGAGGAUGAAUGUUACAGCUCCUGGAUCAUGAGGACUGCUUCUCGAGUCGGGUAGCCUUGGACAAGUGUUAUUAUAUGAGUUAGAGCAAUGUCAUUCAGUCUUAACUCGGAUGAGAUGUUCCUUAUCUAAGUCAUCUUGUCUGCCUCUAUGGUCUUUGUUCUGGUCUAAGGUCUAUUAAGGUGAUGAUCUAUGUCCUUAUCAAACCCUAACAGAG